This 492-nucleotide ribosomal RNA is filed under the name uncultured bacterium. RNAcentral's name for it is "partial 16S ribosomal RNA". It matches the Rfam family "Bacterial small subunit ribosomal RNA", at positions 29 to 507 of the family's 1533-position model. The record is from RNAcentral.
AGUGAACGCUGGCGGUAGGCUUAACACAUGCCAGUCGAACGGCAGCACAGUAAGAGCUUGCUCUUACGGGUGGCGGGUGGCGGACGGGUGAGGAAUACAUCGGAAUCUACUUUUUCGUGGGGGAUAACGUAGGGAAACUUACGCUAAUACCGCAUACGACCUACGGGUGAAAGCAGGGGAUCUUCGGACCUUGCGCGAUUGAAUGAGCCGAUGUCGGAUUAGCUAGUUGGCGGGGUAAAGGCCCACCAAGGCGACGAUCCGUAGCUGGUCUGAGAGGAUGAUCUGCCACACUGGAACUGAGACACGGUCCAGACUCCUACGGGAGGCAGCAGUGGGGAAUAUUGGACAAUGGGCGCAAGCCUGAUCCAGCCAUACCGCGUGGGUGAAGAAGGCCUUCGGGUUGUAAAGCCCUUUUGUUGGGAAAGAAAAGCAGCAGGUUAAUACCCCGCUGUUCUGACGGUACCCAAAGAAUAAGCACCGGCUAACUUCGUG